GAUUAACGCUAGCGGCAGGCCUAAUACAUGCAAGUCGAACGGCAGCGGGUGUAGCAAUACAUGCCGGCGAGUGGCGCACGGGUGCGUAACGCGUAUGCAAUCUACCUAUAACUGGGGAAUAGCCUUCCGAAAGGAAGAUUAAUACCGCAUAACAUCACGGAACGGCAUCGUUUUGUGAUCAAAACUCAGGUGGUUAUAGAUGAGCAUGCGUGACAUUAGCUAGUUGGUGAGGUAACGGCUCACCAAGGCGACGAUGUCUAGGGGGUCUGAGAGGAUGAUCCCCCACACUGGUACUGAGACACGGACCAGACUCCUACGGGAGGCAGCAGUAAGGAAUAUUGGACAAUGGCCGCAAGGCUGAUCCAGCCAUGCCGCGUGAAGGAUGAAGGUGCUAUGCAUUGUAAACUUCUUUUGUCCCGGAAUAAACCCUGAUUUCUAUCGGGCUGAAUGUACGGGAAGAAUAAGGGACGGCUAACUUCGU
Molecule: ribosomal RNA, 481 nt
Filed under: uncultured bacterium
Lineage: Bacteria
Description: bacterial SSU rRNA
Rfam family: Bacterial small subunit ribosomal RNA
Source: RNAcentral